UCCUUGAGUGGCUUGUCUGCCUCUUGUUGC
This 30-nucleotide non-coding RNA is filed under the name Mus musculus (house mouse). The record is from RNAcentral. Lineage: Eukaryota; Metazoa; Chordata; Mammalia; Rodentia; Muridae.